GUCCUCGUGGUGUAGUGGUCAGCACACUCGGCGCGUAUUCGAGAGGUCCGUGGUUCGAGUCCCGACGAGGGCA
RNAcentral lists this transfer RNA (73 nucleotides) under Stegodyphus mimosarum. It matches the Rfam family "tRNA". From Rfam's summary of the family: Transfer RNA (tRNA) molecules are approximately 80 nucleotides in length. Their secondary structure includes four short double-helical elements and three loops (D, anti-codon, and T loops). Lineage: Eukaryota; Metazoa; Arthropoda; Arachnida; Araneae; Eresidae. The record is from Rfam by way of RNAcentral.